GUGGGGAAUAUUGGACAAUGGGCGAAAGCCUGAUCCAGCCAUGCCGCGUGUGUGAAGAAGGUCUUCGGAUUGUAAAGCACUUUAAGUUGGGAGGAAGGGUAGUAACCUAAUACGUUGCUACUUUGACGUUACCGACAGAAUAAGCACCGGCUAAUUUCGUGCCAGCAGCCGCGGUAAUACGAAGGGUGCAAGCGUUAAUCGGAAUUACUGGGCGUAAAUCGCGCGUAGGUGGUUCAGUAAGUUGGAAGUGAAAUCCCCGGGCUCAACCUGGGAACUGAGUUCAAAACUGAUGAGCUAGAGUACGGUAGAGGGUGGUGGAAUUUCCUGUGUAGCGGUGAAAUGCGUAGAUAUAGGAAGGAACACCAGUGGCGAAGGCGACCACCUGGACUGAUACUGACACUGAGGUGCGAAAGCGUGGGGAGCAAACAGGAUUAGAAACCCUAGUAGUCC
Molecule: ribosomal RNA, 450 nt
Filed under: uncultured bacterium
Lineage: Bacteria
Description: partial 16S ribosomal RNA
Rfam family: Bacterial small subunit ribosomal RNA
Source: RNAcentral